CCACUCAACCUCAGAACUUGUCUUUUCUAAGGCAAUAAACUCAGCCUCCAUAGUAUACUGAGUAAUGCAAGUUUGCCUGGUAGACUUCCAAAAAACUGCACUCCCACCAAGAAUGAAAACAUAUCCACUAGUGGAUUUCAUCUCAUUUGAACCUGAGAUCCAAUUUGCAUCACUAAAUCCUUCAAGGACACUUGGAAAUCCACUAAAGCAUAAACCAUAGUUAAUGACACCUCUCAAAUACUUAAGGACUCUACAAAUAGUAGUCCAAUGAUCCUGAUUAAGACUUUGGGUGUACCGACUCAAUCUACCAACUGCAUAAGCAAUGUCAAAUCUGGUGCAAUUCAUUAAGUACAUUAGGCUCCCUAUGAUCUAAGUAUACUUUACUUGGGCAACACUAUGUUCUAUAUUUUUCUUCAGCUAUGAGCUGGGAUCAUAAGGAGUUAACACUGGUUUACAAUCAAAGUGUUCAAACUUCCUUAGGAUCUUUUCAACAUAGUGCUCUUAAGAAAGUUUAAGCCCAUUAGGUGUUCUAGUUAUUUUAAUUCCUAGAAUCACCUCUACCUCUCCUAGGUCUUUCGUAUCAAACUUAGAACCUAUGAAUUUCUUGUAAGGUAUUCUAUUUUGAAUAUGACAUGCGAAUAGGAUAACUUCCCCCCACAAGUUCAAGGGUGCUCCUGAACUUACCAACAUUGCAUCAAAGGUUUUAGGACCUAGUUUUUGUUUUUUUAGGUUCAAGGAGAAAAACUUUAGCUAAAUACCCCCACACUUUCAGGUAUGCUAUAUUAGGUGUGUGAAACCAAGGUUUGGUUAAUCUUGAUUUUGAUGAUAACAAAAUUAGGUUUAGAACUAAUGAUUAUAUUUCAAGUGUGAUUAGGCAAGAUGAUUUCCAAAGUGUCAAUCACAAAGACAAAUCAAGCCAAGGAGAAAUCAUGAAGAAGAAGACCACCUCAAAGAGAAGUGUUUUUCAAGACCCAAGCUUCAUAAGAUCUCUUUGUAAGGUUGUUGGUGCACUAGGAUUUUCAUGCAUUACAUUCUUUACUUAUGCACCAAAAUCAUCCAAGAGUUAUUUUGUUUUAAAUAUUUUAAGAAUUGGAUGAUUUCAUGUUUUCAACUAAAACCUUGUGUUAAAUGUUUUUCAAACUUAUUUUUAAAAGGUUUUAAGUUGAAAAAGUUGGUUGUUGAGCCAAAAAAUGGCUCAACCGGUUGAAGAACAGGUCAAUCGGUUGUUCUUGUCUGGUCGAGGACCGAUCGAGGGAUGCCAAAAACUCUCUCUCUCCUAGUGGCCUUCUCUUCCCGGUCGAGGUGAUUCUCUUCCCUAUCGAGGACCAGUCGAGGUCCGAUUGAGGCUCAACGGUCACCUACCAAGCAUUAAAUGCUAAUGGCUGGUCAACCAAUCGACCCCUAGCUCGACUGGUCGAACCCCAAACAGUUAGUUUGACUUUUUUUCUUCUAUAAAAAGGCUCCAAUCUUCAUUGUUUUAUAAGAUUAACCUUCCCAAACCUUUCUUGAAUAUAUUUGAGCCUUGGAAGAGUGUUUUGAGUGCACCAUUGUUCUAAAACUUGCAUAUCUUUAGUGCACCAUUCAAUCAUAGUUUUCUUGUAUCAUUUGAGCUUAAAGUUUUUGUACUAGGAUUUUAUGAGAUCAUUUAUUUAUAAAUCUUUGAGAGGAAGUUUCUCAAGUGUGGGGUAUCACUUGAGGGGUUGUUCAAGAGUGGGAUAUCUCUUGAGAAGUGUAAAGGGUGCUUGGAGCCAAAAGUCCAAGAGGGUGAAUUGGAAUCAUAAUCCAAUUGUAUUGCUUAAAGGCUUGGUUUGGAAGCCUUGAAUUAGUGGAACCUCAAGCUUGGGAUUGAAGCUAGAGGAGAGUGGAUGCAGGUCGGGUUACGUCGAACCACUAUAAAAUCUUGUGUUUUUGCAUUCUCUCUUCCUUACUCUUUUAAUUUAUAUGCAAUUGUCUUUAUAUUGCUUAUUAUAUACUUGCAUAUAAUUGUCUCUUACAUUCACAUAGUUUAAAUUUGCAAAAAUAGACCAUCACCCUAUUCACCCCCCCCCCCCCCCCCUAAGGGUGACUACCAUAAGGUUGGGANNNNNNNNNNNNNNNNNNNNNNNNNNNNNNNNNNNNNNNNNNNNNNNNNNNNNNNNNNNNNNNNNNNNNNNNNNNNNNNNNNNNNNNNNNNNNNNNNNNNUUGGGUUUUUGCCUUUCUUUUUCCUUUAUUUUUUAAAUUUAAAGCAAAUUUUUUUUAUUUUGUUUUUUUUAUAUUGGAAUAAAAUUUUUUUUUACUUUCAAAUAUUUAAAAUUGCAAAAAAUAGCCCUUCCCCUUUUUCCCCCCCCCCCCCCCCCUAAGGGUGACUACCAUAGGUUGGAUUAGCCUAAUUUUUCUAACAAGGUGCAUAGCCCUUCCACAACUCAUUAGGAGUUUUACCAGUUUUCCAGGUUGGUAACAGAUGAAAACCAUCUUUUGGUUUUAGGUCAGUCAAAAUGUGUCCCAUGUUCACCACAUCAAUUGCAGAGAGAACCCUUUCCUGCCAUCUCUUAAAGAAUGUCCCAUUGAAGAGAUCAAUUUUAGAGGUGUCAGGACAGGUGUGAAUUAGGGAAGCUUCCAUUUGGAUUUAUUUCAAGAUUGUUGGAUUUUAAGGGUAUGGAAACAAAAGACUAGCCCAAAAGACACAAACAAAGAACAUAAUGAAUAAAAAGAAAAACUUAUCGGUUGAGGCGUGACAAACACUAUUCUUGAAAUAGAUCCACCCUCCUCGAAGAUGAACUUGGUGCACUAGGGUACCAGUGGUCUACCUCCAAGAUUCAAUAGCUAAAUCUCACCUUGGGUGCACUCUGAAAACGAGAUGUGUACAGCUCGGGUUUUUGAAUGAAUUCCUCCAAAUAGAUGUAUGAAAAUACUCCCUGAAAAACUCUUUGAAAAAAAUCUCUAAAAAAUUGGUAUUCAUGCAUAGAGAUGGGUGACCUGCUUUUAUAGGCCACUAACACAGUCCCAAUGGGAAUCAACUUGUAAUUAGAAAAUGGCACAAAGUGGAAUGUGAUUCUACUUAUAAAAGGAAUGAGACUCCACUAGCACAAUCCCAAUAGACUCUUCCUAAAAAUAUAACACUAAUAGGAUAAAAUAAAAAAUAAUUCUCAAUAGGACACUUCCCAAAAAUAUAAGAUUAAUAGAAUAAAAUAAAUUAAAUUAAAAUUAAUUUCCAAAAAUAAAAAUAAAAAUUAUUUACACUCUUCCUACAAUCCCCCACAAAGUACAAACAUAAUUUUUUUUGGAGGAAAAAAGAAUCUAAUGCAUUAGUACUGGUGCCCAAAGGCUAUGAACUAGUCUUAAGACAAAUAAGUAUUGAAUCACAAAACAUGGUGAAAAUAAAUUUCUAUGAACUAGUGUUUCUUUAUGUAACUCAAGGGACUUUUAUCCACAUUGGUUUUCUCAACUACACUACAAGCUAUACAAAACGGGUUGGCACAAAUAGGCCAUGCGCCCUACCUGGAUAUUCAUGAGAGCUCUAGAGAACAUGCCUAAGUUCUCAUAGGAAGCGGCCCCACCUCCACUCUCAUAUAGGUAAAUCCAUUAAGUAUGUUUCCACAUUUAAACAUACCAUUCAUAAAGAAUAUGGUAUUCAUUAAGAGUAAACACUCAACCUUAGUCAAUGUAAAAUACGCUCUAUCUACACCAUAGGGAUGGACUCUUAUCCAAUAAAAAAAUUAUAUAUAUAUAUAUAUUGCAAAUUUCCUAACUUGAGAAGUCAAAUUUCUUAAAUUAAAUUAAAAAAAAAUCAAUUUCUUAAACCAAAUUAGUCAUAUAAAAGCUUUGAAGAUAAAAUCCGAGGUCAUUUUGAGAUCAAGCAUUUAUGCCCUUAGUGAAUGUAAGCAAUGCUAAAGUCCAAGCCUGGCCCAAGACACACCAAGGUCUAAACCUAAGUUGAAGACAUGUCGACAUCCAAGUUUGGUCGAAGACAUGCCAAGGUCCAAGCCUAAUUUAAAGGCACACCAAAGUCUAAGCCCUAGUUGAAGGCCUGUUAAAGUCCAAGUCCAACCCAUGACAUACUAACGUCCAAGCCCAAGUUAAAGACAUGCCAAAGUCCAAGCCUAAGAUGAAGAAACACCAAGGUCUAAACCCUAGUUGAAGGCAUGUUAAAGUCCAAGUCCAAUCCAUGACAUACUAAGGUCCAAGCCUAAGUUAAAGACAUGUCAAAGUCUAAGCCUAAGAUGAAGAAGCACCAAGGUCCAAGCUCAAGUCUAAGACACUUCAAGGUCCAGAAUCAAGUUGAAGACGCACCAACGUCCAAGCCCAAACUAAGACCCACCAAGGUCUAAAUUAAGGUGGCAUUUGUUUUUUUGGUUUUUUGCUGAAAAUAAUUUGUUUUUAGAAUUUAGGUUGUUUGUUUUUUUACUUUUUCAUGACUUAUUAUAAACUUUUUACUGAAUAGAAAAAGCCAAAAUAUUUAGCUUUUUCUAAAUAGAAAAAAAUAACAUAUUGGUUUUUCUUUACUUUUUAAUACUUAAUAGAAAUAAAAUACUACAAAAACAAACAACCUAAUAUUUAACACUAUUAAACAGUAAGUUUCUAUUUAGAAUUAAGCAAAAAAACAAACACCACUUAAGUUAGGACCUAAGUCAUGUCUCUCAUUGGAAGAAUCAAAGGACUGACUAGAGAUUGUAUCUCAUUCCUAAAGUUAAUAAAUUUUCAAUUUGGCUACUAGUUUUCUUCUAGAAAAAAUUGUGCACAAGAUACUAGCACGAACAUCAAUUUAAGUAGAAUGAUUUGCAUGUUUUUUUUUUCCACAAAACAUUAUUUUUAAGCUCUUGGAAAACGAUGAUUUACAUAUAAAUCAAUAAAUUUAUUAUCUUAUCCUUAAUGAGCCUAGUCUUAGUCUUAACCCUCAUCAUGCACUAAUCUUCCAAUGCUUAAUCAAAUAGGAGUACACAUCACUAAUAGCACGAAUAGGGACUUUUAAAACCCUUAGGCUAUGUUUGGUUGGUAAGAUAUAACAUGGGAUGGGAUAUAAUAUAUCAUAUCCCAUGUUUGAUUAGUGAUGGAAUAUAAUAAGUUAUCUCAUCAAUUAUCCUAUCCUAUGUUUAACCAAACAUGGGAUAGGAUAAGUGGUGGGAGAUAUUAUCCACCCUCUAUUUUUCAUCCCUUUCAAAUGGGAUAUAUUAAUCUCACGGUAAGAUAUGGAAUAUACAUAUCCCAUGCACCAAUUUUUAUUUUUUAUUUUUUAUCAAUUUUUUAUUUUUAAUAUAUUCAUUUUAUAAAAUAAAAAAAUAUUAUAAAUUAAAUUUACAAUUAAAAAAACUAAACAAAUAUAUAUGAUAUAUAAAUUAUUUUUAUAUUUUAAAUAACAUAAAAUAAAAUAAAAUUUGUAAAAUUUAAAUAUUUUAAUAAUAAAUAUUGUUAAAUAUAAAAAAUCAUUUUUUUUUAAAUAGAAAAUAUUUGAAUAUGAUAUUAUUUUUAUUUUAAAAGUGGAAAAAUAAUAUAUAUUUCAUAUUAGUUUUUAUUCAUUUCACAAACUAAAUAUAGAUAUAAUAUAAUAUAACAUAUCUCAUUAGAUAUAUUAUUUUAAAAUAUUAUAUCCAUGUAAUAUGUAUAUCCAAGAUAUCAUAUUCCAUUGAAAAUCAUAUUAUAAGAUAUGCAUAUCCUAUCCAAUGAGAUAUGAUAUCUUAGGGUAUACAAAUCAUAUCCUAUUUUAUUCAGUCAAUCAAACAUAGUCUUAAAAUAAUCGGCUUCCAUGAAAUUAAUAAGAUAAAAUCUUGUCAUUAUUUUUUUUUUCCUUUCAUUCCUCACCUCUCUAUUAACUUUUUGUUUCCUUCUCUCUCUCACACACACACCCCGAAAGUGGUUUUAUCAGAUUGCCCCUUCAUUUAUUAGUUAUAUGAAGAACAUAGCUACAAAGUCUAUAUAACUAUGUUGUCCACAUAAAAUAGAAUAUUUUCUUAAAAUUUCACACAAAACGGACCAUGUUUGAUCUAUUAAACCAGCCUCCAAAAGACCCAUGGCACUCUCUAACUCUAUCUUUUUUUUUCUCUUCCUUUCCUCACUUCUCAUUUAAUUUUUUGUUUUCCUUCUCUCUAUCUCACCAUAAGUGGAUUUUCACCACUUAAUACAAGACCACUUCUUUUCUUUUCCUUUUUUUUCACACUUGAGCCAAUACUUCCCCUUAUUUUCCUUAUAUGCGAAAUAUUGCAUUUCCCUCAAAACUAAGUAUCAACCUAUGACCUCGUGAAUAAAAGGCAUUGCCUUUGCCACCCAACCACAUGUGCUAUGUUAUAUUUACUUCAUAUAACAAUGCACAUGUAUUCAUAUUUCCUAUCUUUUUUUAUAUAUACUAUAUAUUAACUAAAUUAAAAUUAUUAUAAUUAAUUUUAUUUUAUUUAUCUUAUUAUGCAUUUUAUAUAAUAAUUAAAUACAAGACAAAAAUAAAUUUAUACCCCAAUUUUAGCCUCUAUUUUUUUAAAUGUCUUAACUUUAACUGAAUCAUUAAGGCUAUGUUUGGUUCUUGGAAAAUUUGAGAAAAAAUGCUAAGGAAAGAAAAUAGAAGAAGAAAAUAAAAGGAAAGAAAAAAUGAAGGAAAAUGAAAAAGAAGAUUUAAAUUAAUAAAUUAUUUUUAUAUGCUUUUUCAAAUUUAUUUUAUUUAUUUAUCUCUAUUAUAACAAGAUUAAAUAAUUUAAAAGUAUAUAAAUUUCAUUUAAUUUUAAUUAUAUUUAUUUUCUUUUAUAUUUUAUAUAAUGAAACAAAACAUAAGAAAAUCAUUUUUCGCGAAUCAAACAUAGCCUAACUAUUUAAUUAUUUAAUCAUUCAACUUAAAAUAAUUAGAUUUUCAACCCUUUAAAAUGACAUUAAUAUAAUCCACUUCAUUCAUCAAUGAUACCUCAAUUAAAUCAACCUUUCAAAAGUUAAUUUAUUAUAAUAUUAAAUCCAUGUUUUUUAAAUUCAUUAUAACAAUUUCAUAUAAUAUCAUUUUAUUGAGGUUAUCUUAUAAUUACCUAAUAAUUAUUAAACUAAUUCUCAAAAUACACUUAAUAUUCAAAUCUCAAAAAUCCAAUCUCCAAUAAGUUAUUAGUUAAAUUUCCUUUAGAUUUAAAUUUAAUUUCUCAAACUCUCAUUUUGAAAAUUUGACUAAUUAAAUUUGAAAUUUUGUGGCUCUAAAUUUGAUGUGGUUACCAUAAGCAUCUCCUUUUGAAAAAAAUAAUGUCUUGACAAGUAAUGGUAUAGGGAACUCACUGCCCUUCUACUAGGAUUAAACUAAGUCAUAACCAUACUUCUAUUGUUACGGGAAGUUUUUAGCUCCUACUAACAAGAUGUUACUUUUACAAAAAAGACUAUUUAUUUUAUUAAAUAUAUUUAAUAUUAAUACAUUAAUAAAUGAUAAUCUAAAAGGGCUUUUAAGGGAAGUAGGGAAUUUCAGGCGCAAGCUGCCACUGAAGAAGUUUCUGGUGGCAACCUUUUGGGAGUCAGAGCUGAGUGAAAACAAGUGUCCCAAGCAUCCUGAUCCAAAACCAACACGUAUACAACUCAACACCCUCACGCAACAACACGUAGCACCGUCCUCCUUCAAUAAAAAUUAAAACCUUUCCCUAUUAUAAAGACAAGCCUCCGCAUCCUCACACCGGAGUCAUGCUACCUUUGAAUCGCUUCCUUCAGUUCGUCACACAAGCUGUCCUCUUCAUCUUCUUGCUCCACCAAUCCCUCGCUUCUCCAAUUAUACUAUGACUGCCGGAGUUCGAAUCCCCCUUUGCGUCCAGUGCGGCACCCACUCCAACCCCUGCCGCUGCAAGGUGGUGGGCCCGACGCUGGGGUUCUUGGCCUUCGCAGUCGCCGCCAUCGUGGAGUGGCCGGUGGGGGCUCUGGUAUACUGCUUUCGCCACAUGAAGGGUCGCCGUAUCAUGGCUCACCCUGCCGCUGUGGUGUAUCCGUCUGUGUCCAACGCUUUUCCCAUUUGAUGAUCGGCGUGCGCGCGGUGGACGCAAAAACUGUGUAGAUGUGCUGUUCUUGAUCUACUUGCAGUAAUAAUAGUAACAGUAAUCUACGUGGUUGAGUUGUGUAAAUGGUUUCUGGAGUAUUUGGUGAUUAAUGAAACGGAAAAUGUGGUGUUGCAGAAAAGGAAUGUGGAAAAUAUAAACAAAUAUUGCUGCGUGGAUGCCCAUUUUUCAUGCAUGACACGUGUUUUUGUUCCAUCAUACUUUUGGGAUUUUGAUUCCAUCGUAAUAAUCCACCCGGUAUAUGUGGGAAUCAGCAGGGAUUGAAAAAUCGGAAUUUAUCGGCGAUAUUUCGCCGAAAUAUCGGAUAUCGGUCGCCCCGAUUAUCGAUUUCCAGGAAUAUCGUCAAAAAAUCGGCCAACUGGAGGAGGAUUUCAAAAAAUCGCCAAAAAAAUCGCCGAUAUUUCAGUAUUUUUAUCGGGAAAUUUCCCGAUAUUUCCUACCAGUUCAGCCCGCGCAUAGGAUACAAAAUCUGUCCAUUUUUUUUUAAAAAAAAAGACAUAAGAUGCUAUUUGGUAAUCUGAUCAUGAUUUGCAGGCAAAGGUUUUGUUUUUCAGCCUGGCUCAAAAAUCGUGGAUUUAGGGUUCGUGAAAUUUAAAUCCAAUGGCACAACAGCAAAACAGAUCCAGAAAACAGAGGGAGCAAAAGAAAAGCAAUUUUUUGGUUUUCCUUGGAGGUUUUGCAUGGAUUUUCUCGGAAAUCAAACGAGGAUGAAUUUUCCCGGAAAUCGAAUUGGGGAUGGUUUUUCUUGGGAAUCAAACGGGGGUUGCAAAAAUAAUAAUAAUAACAAGAUUAGAUUAGUACCUGCGAGGAUUGAGAGUGGCAGAGGAAAAUAGGGCUUUUUUAGGGAUUCUCUCGUCUGGAGCUUGAUGCCCGAGUGAGAGAAGUCGGUGGCCCGAGUGAGAGAGGUCGGUGGCCCUUUUGAUUUUUAGAUUUAGUAGAGAUAAAAAAAAUAAACAAAUCAUGAGAACAAUUUUCCUCUCUCUAUGUAAAUAAUUAUUAAUUAUCCAC
RNAcentral lists this long non-coding RNA (8979 nucleotides) under Vitis vinifera (wine grape). RNAcentral describes it as "long non-coding RNA (VVIN_LNC004700)". Lineage: Eukaryota; Viridiplantae; Streptophyta; Magnoliopsida; Vitales; Vitaceae. The record is from RNAcentral.